This 250-nucleotide ribosomal RNA is filed under the name uncultured bacterium. RNAcentral describes it as "partial 16S ribosomal RNA". It matches the Rfam family "Bacterial small subunit ribosomal RNA", at positions 94 to 339 of the family's 1533-position model. The record is from RNAcentral.
AGUGGCAAACGGGUGAGUAACACGUAGGUAAUCUACCUUUUGGCGGGGGACAACUUCGGGAAACCGGAGCUAAUACCGCAUAUGCUUGGAAGUCAUAAGGCUUCCUUGUGAAAGCCUUCGGGCACCAGAAGAUGAGCCUGCGUCCUAUUAAUUGGAUUGUUGGUGAGGUAAUGGCUCACCAAGUCCACGAUGGGUAGCCGGCCUGAGAGGGUGAUCGGCCACACUGGAACUGAGACACGGUCCAGACUCC